CAGAUAAGACUUUAUCUACCCUGGGCAGCUUUCCUGAGCCAUGGCAGGCUGGCUUACAAGCAAUACUAGGCUUCUGUUGUCUCUUUCUGUCUAUUUAUAAGAAACAUGGCCAGGCAAGAUGGCUUAUGCCUUUAAUCUCAGCUGUUUGGGAAGCCAAGUGGAAAGAUUGCUUGAGGCCAGGAGUUCAAGGCCAACCUGGAUAACACAGCUCAGUCCCAAAAAAGCACCUGAAGCUUGUCUUAGCUUUCAUUCUUCUUAUGAGAGAAAUUGGGCCUGAUGCUGAAGGAGAACUCUUCUGUCCACUGCAAGUCCACUUACAUGAACAGCUAAAUAAAUGAAUGGGAUUCUGAAGGACUGUAUGUGGAGAGCAAGGUUAACCAUUUGUGCUUGCUGCAUGAGGUCAGAAAAUACGAAAAGAGAAUGAGGAAAUUUCAGCUGGGUCCCUCCCUUUAAUUCAGGGUUUCUUCCCACUCUUCAGGGAAUAAGCAAUGAUGAGUGUUAGGCUGUUUAUUCAGAUACCCUCAUGCCACUGCAGAAGCGAGUAGAGGAAGAAUACAAGGAAAAAACUGUCUCCCAGCCUGUGGAAAGAGGAUGGCUAUUUCAUCCACUAAAGGUGUACACAUUAAGUGAAUUGGUAUGUCUACAUAGUCCCAUUAGGAGUGAAUGUCUGUGUGUGCAACUGAGAUGAGAUGAUGUCUUGUCCAAUGCUGGUUUCCACCUUGUGCCCUGAGCUGUUGGGAUAGGCUCCUGCGACCCAUGACCCUGAAGCAGAAUAAGUGGAUUGGAUAAAGGAAUGAUGGAUAU
Molecule: long non-coding RNA, 804 nt
Filed under: Pongo abelii (Sumatran orangutan)
Lineage: Eukaryota; Metazoa; Chordata; Mammalia; Primates; Hominidae
Description: lincRNA
Source: RNAcentral